This is a long non-coding RNA of Solanum pennellii, 989 nucleotides long. RefSeq lists it as uncharacterized. The transcript is spliced from 3 exons. The record is from RefSeq and is a predicted model, not a curated record. NCBI's taxonomy places the organism in Eukaryota, Viridiplantae, Streptophyta, Magnoliopsida, Solanales, Solanaceae.
CCCCUUCCCAUAGUUCAAAUCUGUUCAACUUGGAAUUUAAUCUUGUGUCUGUAAGGCACGUAUGUUUGCUUCAUACUUGGCUGCUUUGAGUUUGGUUCGGAAAUCGUCAUGUAUAUUGUCCGAUGCUUGCAGUUUAAUUUGUAUCCCGAAAUAAAUUUAGUGGCGUGACUUAAUUUGGCACUAUUCUUGACUUAUUCAAUAUCGAUUAAAGUUGAAUUGUCUUAUUAAUCUCUUUACCCUCUCUUUACUUGCAUAAAAAUUGGAGCAAAAAUGGAAUCCGAAUUGAGGACUCUCGCCAAAAUAAAGUCUCAUGGACUCGCUACCAUCAUACCCGCAUAUGGAGUCUAUGUCUUUGACUAUCCGGAAUAGAAAACAAAAGACAUCAUUUGGUGGAUCAAUGGUUACCUAAGGUGGCUUCAACAGACUUGCCCCAUCUUGUGGUGGAUUGCAACUAUCAAUAAGGAACUCUUGGAACAACAGCAAGAGGAAACUGAAGCUCUUGAAGAUGAUGGGUGAGCCAGUUAGUUUCAGAAAGAGUAGCAUCAGCUGCCCGAUAUUCUGCCUCCAUAGAAGAAUGAGAAACUCAAUGCUGCUUCAUUAAAGACCAUGAAAUAGGGGAACUACUAAGAUAGGUAACAUAACCAGUGGUCGAUGUGCAAUCUUGAGGAUCUCCUGCCCACUCUGAGUCAGAGUACGCAAGCAACCGACAAUCAGUUUCAUUGGCAACAGUACACGAAAAGAGGUAGUUGAACAGAGAUAACAGAGAAGUCGUUUAAGAGAAACCCAGUGAGACAUAAAUGGUUGAUGCAUAGCUUGGGACAACUUUCUAACAAAAGAAGCUUGUUAACAUUUUUUCUUGAAAAUGAUCUCAUAAAAUCUAAGAAACCAUGUCCUAUGUGGAUUAUUCUUUUUGGAAAGAGGUUGUCAAUAGUAAGAUAGAUUCAAUCUUGAACAACAAUACUUGAGAGUUAGUUGAUUUUCCGAAAUAA